UACAGAGGGGGCAAGCGUUAUUCGGAAUUAUUGGGCGUAAAGGGCGCGUGGGCGGUCGUGCAAGUGGAAGGUGAAAUCCCUCGGCUCAACCGAGGAACUGCCUUUCAAACUGCAUGACUUGAGUCCGGGAGAGGUGAGUGGAAUUCCCAGUGUAGCGGUGAAAUGCGUAGAUAUUGGGAGGAACACCAGUGGCGAAGGCGGCUCACUGGACCGGAACUGACGCUGAGGCGCGAAAGCGUGGGGAGCAAACGGG
This 253-nucleotide ribosomal RNA is filed under the name uncultured bacterium. Its description in RNAcentral is "partial 16S ribosomal RNA". It matches the Rfam family "Bacterial small subunit ribosomal RNA", at positions 524 to 776 of the family's 1533-position model. The record is from RNAcentral.